This 481-nucleotide ribosomal RNA is filed under the name uncultured bacterium. RNAcentral's name for it is "bacterial SSU rRNA". It matches the Rfam family "Bacterial small subunit ribosomal RNA", at positions 78 to 595 of the family's 1533-position model. The record is from RNAcentral.
CUUCGGGUAGUGGAAAGUGGCAGACGGGUGAGUAACGCGUGGGAAUAUACCUAGAGGUACGGGACAACGCCGGGAAACUGGUGCUAAUACCGUAUGUGCCCUUCGGGGGAAAGAUUUAUCGCCUUUAGAUUAGCCCGCGUUAGAUUAGCUUGUUGGUGAGGUAAAAGCUCACCAAGGCGACGAUCUAUAGCUGGUCUGAGAGGAUGAUCAGCCACACUGGGACUGAGACACGGCCCAGACUCCUACGGGAGGCAGCAGUGGGGAAUCUUGCACAAUGGGCGAAAGCCUGAUGCAGCCAUGCCGCGUGAGUGAUGAAGGCCCUAGGGUUGUAAAACUCUUUCAGUGGGGAAGAUAAUGACGGUACCCACAGAAGAAGCUCCGGCUAACUCCGUGCCAGCAGCCGCGGUAAUACGGAGGGAGCUAGCGUUGUUCGGAAUUACUGGGCGUAAAGCGCACGUAGGCGGAUUGAUCAGUCAGAGGU